UCAAGGAUCCCAGAGUCUUCACCAGUUCAGAGCACAGAGUCAUGUUCAUCUUUGAUGGUCUGGAUGAGUCUCGACUUCCUCUAGAUUUCUGCUCUAAUCCAAAGUGUUGUGAAGUGACAGAGCCAGCCUCGGUGGAUGUUCUGCUGACAAACCUCAUCGAGGGGAAUCUGCUUCCUUCUGCUCUCCUCUGGAUCACCACCCGACCAGCAGCAGCCAAUCAGAUCCCUCCUGAAUGUGUGGGCCAGGUGACAGAAAUAAGGGGAUUCAAUGACCCACAGAAAGAUGAAUACUUCAGGAAGAGAAUCAGUGAUGAGAACCUGGCCAGCAGAACCAUCACACACCUGAAGUCAUCCAGGAGCCUCUACAUCAUGUGCCACAUUCCAGUCUUCUGCUGGAUUUCAGCCACUGUUGUAGAGAGCACAUCACAACAAUUAGGCAUAGAUCAUGAAUCAAAAGAAUCAGAAGUAGAAAUGCCAAGGACUUUGACACAAAUGUACACACGCUUCCUAAUCAUUCAGACAAGCAUAAAACAUGUCAAGUACACAGACAGAGAAGAGACAGAUGAAGAGGUGAUUUUCAAACUGGGGAAACUGGCUUUCCAACAGCUGGAGAAAGGCAAUCUGAUAUUUUAUGAGGAAGAUCUGAAAGAGUGUGGCAUUGACAUCACAGAAGCAUCAGUGUACUCAGGAGUGUGUACACAGAUCUUCAGAGAAGAGGCUGGGCUGUACCAGGGGAAGGUGUUCAGCUUUGUGCAUCUGAGCAUUCAGGAGUUUCUAGCAGCUCUCUAUGUGUUCCUCUGCUUCAGCAACAGAGAGAGAAACAUGGCUGACCAACGGCAAACCUCUCAGCUCUCUGCUCUGUUCAGAGCUCCAACACUUCAUGACCUACUCAAGACUGCAGUGGACCUGGCCUUAUACAGUACAAAUGGCCACCUGGACCUUUUCCUCCGCUUCCUUCUUGGCCUCUCCCUAGCGUCCAAUCAGAAUCUCUUGAAGGACCUUCUCCCACAGAGCAGCAGCCAAUCAGAAAGCUCAGAGCAAACAGUGCAGUAUGUCAAACAGAAGAUCAGAGAUCAGAGUAGCUCAGACAGAAGGAUCAACCUGUUCUACUGUCUGAAUGAGCUGAAUCACCAUGCUGUAGUGGAGGGCAUUGACAGACACUCAGGAGCUCUAUAUGUAGACAUGCUCUUACCAGGAGAGUGGAAGACUGUGAUAUUUACGUUUAAGAUGUCAGAAGAGCAGCUGGCUGAGUUUGACCUGCAGAAGUUCAUAAAGACACCAGAGAAUGAUCAAACCGAACUCCUCAGUCCAGAUGAAGUUCUUCAGAAGCUGCUGCCAGUGGCCACAAUAUCCACAUCAGCUCGGCUUAAAGGCUGUGAUCUUACAGAGAGGAGCUGUUCCUAUCUGGCCUCUGCUCUGAACUCACACUCAUCUAGUCUCAGAGAGCUGCACCUGAGUGAGAAUAAGCUGCUGGACUCAGGAAUGGAACUUUUAUGUCCCGCUCUUAGUAAUCAAAACUGCAAACUGGAGGAACUCUGGCUGUAUGACUGUAAGCUGACUGAGAAGAGCUGUUCCUAUCUGGCAUCUGCCCUGACCGCACACUCCUCAAGUCUCACACUGCUUGACCUGGGUGGCAAUAACCUGGACUCAGGAGUGAAACUGUUAUGUUCUGCACUUUGUCAUCAGCACUGCAAACUGGAAGAACUACAGCUGAAUGGCUGUAAUCUGACAGAGGAGAGCUGCUCCUAUCUGGCCUCUGCUCUGACAUCACACUCUUCAAGUCUCAGACUGCUGAAUCUGUGUGACAACAUCCUAAUUAGUAAAUCAGCUGUAGAGCCGCUCUGUGCUCUAGUGAAGGACUCACGCUGUACACUAGAGAAGCUGCAGUGAGUAAAUAUCUAAACAUGUCACUCAGGUCUUUAGGACAUGAGCCCAACCUGCCUCUUUUAUUUGUGUCCUCUCUCUAUUCUGUCUGUUUCCUCCAUCUCCUCCUCCAUCAUUGAGUCCAUCCCUCCAUCUCCUCCUCCAUCAUUGAGUCCAUCCCUCCAUCUCCUCCUCCAUCAUUCACUCAGAUGGAGUGAAUCUGGGAAAAGACGAGAGUUGAGACAAAUGACAUGAGAGUGGGAUCCAUCACACACACACACACACACACACACACACACACACUCACUAUAUAUAUACAGUAAUACAUUCAGAUGUUUCCAUGUUGUGCUCUCAGUCUCUGCUCUAAUUCAUCCCAAAGCUUUUGAAAUCAGGCCUCUGUACAGGCCAGUCAAGUUCAUCCACACUAAACUCUGUCAUCCAUGUCUUUAUGGACCUUGCUUGGUGAAUUGGUUCACGGUCAUGUUGGAACAGGAAGGGGCUAUCCUUGAGCUUGGCUUGGCCCCUUCAGUGAAAGGAACUCUGAGUUUCUUAGCAUUUCUCAUCAUUAAUCCGUUUAAUCCCACAUUUUUCCCAUGAUUUGGGGACAUUGUCCCCAGUCUGCACCAAAGCGACUGAUAAAAUCUGCAAAAGUGCUCAUUAAAGCUUCAUCAUCAGCACCCUCUGUUUCAUCCCACGUGCCUCUUCAUCCAGACAGCUGUAGGUGUGUUUUUGGCGCCCCCUCUUGUCAGGACACUGUCACUGUCUCACUGUGUGUUAUGCCACACUAAUUCCACAUGUGCCUCUUCAU
Molecule: RNA transcript, 2670 nt
Organism: Sardina pilchardus (European sardine)
Lineage: Eukaryota; Metazoa; Chordata; Actinopteri; Clupeiformes; Clupeidae
Gene name: NACHT, LRR and PYD domains-containing protein 3-like
Exons: 5
Source: RefSeq, a predicted model, not a curated record